RNAcentral lists this unclassified non-coding RNA (496 nucleotides) under Hevea brasiliensis (rubber tree). The record is from RNAcentral. Lineage: Eukaryota; Viridiplantae; Streptophyta; Magnoliopsida; Malpighiales; Euphorbiaceae.
AGCUUCAACAAUGUCAAGCAAUGGCUGAAUGAAAUUGACAGAUAUGCAAAUGAGAGUGUGUGCAAGCUUCUCGUGGGAAACAAAUGCGAUUUGGUAGAAAACAAGGUCGUGGACACACAGAUGGGAAAGGCUCUGGCAGAUGAACUAGGUAUCCCUUUCCUUGAGACAAGUGCAAAAGACUCCAUCAACGUGGAGCAGGCUUUCUUAACGAUGGCUGGAGAGAUAAAGAAAAAAAUGGGUAACCAACCAGCUGGAGCAAAGAGGACAGGUAGCACUGUUCAAAUCAAGGGACAACCAAUUGAGCAGAAGGGCAACUGUUGUGGUUAACUGCUGAUGUUGCGUUGCUGUAUCCCUCUGUUCCAAUUGCAAAAUGUCGAACAGAUUGUAACUAAAACAUAUGUUUACUAGAGCUAGAAUGUCUCAACUCCUGUGUAUCUUCCCGUUAGUGGAAAUACAUUUGCAACUGUGCUUCAGGUGCAUGUAACAAUUACUGUUU